RNAcentral lists this ribosomal RNA (415 nucleotides) under uncultured bacterium. RNAcentral's name for it is "bacterial SSU rRNA". It matches the Rfam family "Bacterial small subunit ribosomal RNA", at positions 355 to 787 of the family's 1533-position model. The record is from RNAcentral.
UGGGGAAUAUUGCACAAUGGGGGAAACCCUGAUGCAGCGACGCCGCGUGAGCGUUGAAGUAUUUCGGUAUGUAAAGCUCUAUCAGCAGGGAAGAAAAUGACGGUACCUGACUAAGAAGCCCCGGCUAACUACGUGCCAGCAGCCGCGGUAAUACGUAGGGGCAAGCGUUAUCCGGAUUUACUGGGUGUAAAGGGAGCGUAGACGGAGAGGCAAGUCUGGAGUGAAAAACCCGGGGCUCAACCCCGGGACUGCUUUGGAAACUGUUUUUCUAGAGUGUCGGAGAGGUAAGUGGAAUUCCUAGUGUAGCGGUGAAAUGCGUAGAUAUUAGGAGGAACACCGGUGGCGAAGGCGGCCUUCUGGGCCAUCACUGACGCUGAGGCGCGAAAGCUAGGGGAGCAAACAGGAUUAGAUACCC